RNAcentral lists this ribosomal RNA (187 nucleotides) under uncultured bacterium. RNAcentral's name for it is "partial 16S ribosomal RNA". It matches the Rfam family "Bacterial small subunit ribosomal RNA", at positions 1315 to 1500 of the family's 1533-position model. The record is from RNAcentral.
CCUUCAUGAAGCCGGAAUUGCUAGUAAUGGCAGGUCAGCAUACUGCCGUGAAUACGUUCCCGGGCCUUGUACACACCGCCCGUCACACCAUGAGAGUUGGAAAUACCCGAAGCCUGUGAGCUAACCUUAUAGGAGGCAGCAGUCGAAGGUAGAGUCAAUGAUUGGGGUGAAGUCGUAACAAGGUACC